RNAcentral lists this unclassified non-coding RNA (216 nucleotides) under soil metagenome. Its description in RNAcentral is "partial contains 5.8S ribosomal RNA, internal transcribed spacer 2, and large subunit ribosomal RNA". The record is from RNAcentral.
AACCUAGCACACCUGCGGUGUGUACCUGCGGAAGGAUCAUUACAAGUGACCCCGGUUUACCACCGGGAUGUUCAUAACCCUUUGUUGUCCGACUCUGUUGCCUCCGGGGCGACCCUGCCUUCGGGCGGGGGCUCCGGGUGGACACUUCAAACUCUUGCGUAACUUUGCAGUCUGAGUAAACUUAAUUAAUAAAUUAAAACUUUCAACAACGGAUCU